CGGUGGAGCAUGUGGUUUAAUUCGAUGCAACGCGAAGAACCUUACCUGGUCUUGACUUCCACAGAACUUAGCAGAGAUGCUUUGGUGCCUUCGGGAUCUGUGAGACAGGUGCUGCAUGGCUGUCGUCAGCUCGUGUUGUGAUAUGUUGGGUUAAGUCCCGCAACGAGCGCAACCCUUAUCCUUUGUUGCCAGCGGUCCGGCCGGGAACUCAUAGGAGACUGCCAGUGAUAAUCUGGAGGAAGGUGGGGAUGACGUCAAGUCAUCA
This 265-nucleotide ribosomal RNA is filed under the name Klebsiella pneumoniae. Its description in RNAcentral is "partial 16S ribosomal RNA". It matches the Rfam family "Bacterial small subunit ribosomal RNA", at positions 930 to 1195 of the family's 1533-position model. Lineage: Bacteria; Pseudomonadati; Pseudomonadota; Gammaproteobacteria; Enterobacterales; Enterobacteriaceae. The record is from RNAcentral.